RNAcentral lists this ribosomal RNA (939 nucleotides) under Triticum aestivum (bread wheat). Its description in RNAcentral is "partial small subunit ribosomal RNA". The record is from RNAcentral. Lineage: Eukaryota; Viridiplantae; Streptophyta; Magnoliopsida; Poales; Poaceae.
AUGAGGGAGGAGGAGGAGCCCAGCUGGUUCGCGCGCUUCGACGAGGACCUGCCGGCGCCCGACGAGCUCAUGCCGCUCUCGCAGUCGCUCAUCACCCGCGAUCUCGCCGCCGCCUUCGACAUCCCCACCACGCACGGCGGGGGCGGCCCGCUCAGCGGCGGCGCCGACGGGGCCGGCGGCGCGGGCGGCCAGGAGAUGAACGGCGGCGCGUCCUCGGCCGCCGGCUCCAGCGGCGGCAACGGGGGCGGCAACGGCGAGGAGCCGGCCAGGACCCUCAAGCGGCCGCGCCUCGUGUGGACGCCGCAGCUGCACAAGCGCUUCGUUGAUGCCGUGGCGCACCUCGGCAUCAAGAACGCCGUGCCCAAGACCAUAAUGCAGCUGAUGAGCGUGGACGGCCUCACGCGCGAGAACGUCGCGUCCCACCUCCAGAAGUACCGCCUCUACCUCAAGCGCAUGCAGGGGCUCGGCAACGGCGGUGGCGGCGGGGGAGGCAGCCACUCCUCCGGCUCCGGGACCGACGCAGCCACCGAGCACCUCUUCGCCACCGGGCCCUCCCCGUUCCUCCCGCCCGGCCGCGGCCCGGCCGUCGCCGACCCCUACACCCCCUACGCCGCCAUGCCGUCCCACCCCGCGGCGCACCACCAUCACCACCACCCGCAGCAGAUCGGCCACUUCCACCACCCCGCCGCGCGCCCGUUCGGCCACUACGGCGCCGGGCCAGGCGGCGGCUUCGACCACGGCUUCCUGAGCCGCGCCGUGGCCAGCGGCGCGCCAGUCGGCCCGCCCGGGAUGCACCACCGCAUGGUCGGCGGCGGGGCCGCGAUGGGGAUGAUGGCGCCGUCGUCCUUCGCCGAGGAGCUGGAGCUAGGGUCCCGCGGCGGCGGCGGCGGCGGCGGGCGCCGGGAGCUGACGCUGUUCCCGACCUCCGGCGAGCACUGA